RNAcentral lists this transfer RNA (83 nucleotides) under Cryomorphaceae bacterium. It matches the Rfam family "tRNA". Rfam says of the family: Transfer RNA (tRNA) molecules are approximately 80 nucleotides in length. Their secondary structure includes four short double-helical elements and three loops (D, anti-codon, and T loops). The record is from Rfam by way of RNAcentral. Lineage: Bacteria; Pseudomonadati; Bacteroidota; Flavobacteriia; Flavobacteriales; Cryomorphaceae.
GCGGACGUGGCGGAAUUGGUAGACGCGCUGUCUUCAGGCGGCAGUGUCACUUCGACGUGGGGGUUCGAGUCCCCCCGUCCGCA